AAUUGGCUGAAGUAUUUACAGAUUCGUAUUGAGAGUGUGUUUUAAAAAUAUGGAAAAGAUAGCUGAUAGCUCAUGCAUUACCGAUUUCGACGGUGUCAAAUCAACAAUCAUCAUGUACAGACAAUGGUUGCUAAAGAUAAAAGAUGAGAUUCCUAUCAUUAAAGUAUCACUGUUAGUAUAUCAUAUAGUACAAAAAGACACAACGUUUUAACUAAUAUGUCGAAAGACCAUGUCGUAGAGGAAGUCCUUCAGGAUAUCAAAAAGAAAUUGAAUACGAGUCGUGGUCAUACCAUUUAAAUUCAUAGUUUUGGGAACUUUACUGUAAUGGUAAACGGCGAAUUAUGUUAGACCACAAUUACUGCCAUAUAUUUGUCUGUAGUAACGAUAGCUUUAUUAAUGAAAUCUAAAGAUACGACACGCAUUGGAAUGAGGACUUAAAACAGAAAUGACUGAUGUGUUCGAUGAAAUCACAACAAACGAUAAUGCUUCUAGUACGAAGACCGACAGAGUUUGGAACUCUCUUUUGGCAUACAAGCAAAUAUAUUAAGUUCGGCCUGUAGAUUAAAACAAUAAACAUAGAACCUCAA
Long non-coding RNA from Mytilus trossulus (common blue mussel), 587 nucleotides. RefSeq lists it as uncharacterized. The record is from RefSeq and is a predicted model, not a curated record. The transcript has 2 exons. NCBI's taxonomy places the organism in Eukaryota, Metazoa, Mollusca, Bivalvia, Mytilida, Mytilidae.